UCUGGGAAGAAUUCAGAACCCUAUCCAAGGAAGCCUGGAGUAGUCAGGACCUCUCUCAUUAUCCCCUGCCAAUCUCCAAUGUCAUAUCUUUACCUCUGUUUCCCCUCUAAGCCAGUAUCUUCCUCCUUGGGCUGUGUUCUCUUGUUCUGCACCAGCCACUUCUGAGGGCAUGUUUUGUGGCUGCUGAUUCUGGGACACCCCUCCUGCUAUUGGACACUCAACUCGAAUUCCAUACAGACCUCCCUCCUCUUGAUAAACAAGGCCACGGAAACACCGUUAAACACAAGCGUGUUCAUUCAAAGAAGCUGCAGGUUUUGGUGGUCCAGUGGGCAAAGCACUUACCGUGGAAGUCUGAGGACCAGAAGAGACAUUCCUCAGAAGCUUUCAGGACUGCUGUAGACAGUGCUGAGCAAACCUGGAGGAGCAGAAAUGACAGAGACUGUACCAAGGCUUUAAUGCAAGUUGCAUCCUGAUUCCCUGGCUGAGAGUGACAACAGAGCCAUAGUCAGCUCUUCCUGGGGUGAGACUUCACCUUGGAGCAGGCUCCUUCCUACCCAGCCCCAUGAAGGUGAGAACUUCAAAUCUCCUUCUUUGUCUUUUGAAAGAAAAAUGCACCCAAAUGGAAUGUUUACCCCCUAAAUCUACAAACUCAACAAAAAUCUGUUCUUCUAGGUGACUUUGACUGGCACCUUUUUCUUCUAAAACAGAAUGAGUAGAGACAAUUUUGUGAUCAUCGCUGCCCCAGACCAAAUGCAUCAUCCAACCAAGAAGGGCAGCGUGGGAACUGGGACCCACCUAAAAAACAUCAGGGAACCAGUUUGGGCCUCGUCAGCCUUGCUUCCUGCAAAAGUUACAGAAUGCUAAUCUACCUGAGAGGCUUAGCGGGACCUCGGGCAUUAUCAAACCUUUAGCCCAGACAGAGCUCUGCACCACAGAGCCAGAACAAAGUGAUUUAUUUAAGUGAAUGACCACAGCUUUUGGGCCUUGAUGAUGUCUGUUUUUAAGCUCAGUCUGCAAUGAAUUGAGGUCUACGAGGGAAAUCGAAAGCUUUUAUGCUGGGUUGAGAGGGGCUUGCUCUCACCUCGUUAAGUUCGUCUCUCUAAAAGCACAUAACUUACUUUCAAUAUUGUCCAAUCGCCUUCCUCUGGACGUGGAGAGAUUUCCAUUCUGUCCCCAUGACACAUCCAAAUAAAACACUGCUUCAGCCA
Molecule: long non-coding RNA, 1208 nt
Organism: Peromyscus eremicus (cactus mouse)
Lineage: Eukaryota; Metazoa; Chordata; Mammalia; Rodentia; Cricetidae
Exons: 4
Source: RefSeq, a predicted model, not a curated record